GCAUAUACACAAAUGUUCUCAUUACGUAUAUUUUGAAUGUUUAUAUCAAUUUUAUAAUAUAUAUUAUAUUAAAAACUAAAAUAUAAUUUUUAUUACUGAUUUAAUAUAACUAUUUCAAAUAAUAUUUUUUGAAAAAUAUACAAUAAUUACAUAUAACUAAUAAUUACAAUUUAUUUUUUAUUUUCUUAUUAAAGUUACAUCCAAAAUUCCACUGCAAAAAAAAACUACAGCUACAGCUAACACAUCUACAGUUACAAACUUACAGCAAUUACUUUACAGGAAUAGGCAAUCAAAGAUUUUGUGUAAAUGGCAAAUUAAGCUAUAUUCGUACUCCAACCAAUUUACCAGCUCACAUAUUCUCUAAACUAUAAAACUAUAAUCAUAUCCUCAAAAUAU
RNAcentral lists this small RNA (396 nucleotides) under Arabidopsis thaliana (thale cress). Its description in RNAcentral is "ATSL272040". Lineage: Eukaryota; Viridiplantae; Streptophyta; Magnoliopsida; Brassicales; Brassicaceae. The record is from RNAcentral.